Long non-coding RNA from Cyprinus carpio (common carp), 789 nucleotides. The record is from Ensembl. Lineage: Eukaryota; Metazoa; Chordata; Actinopteri; Cypriniformes; Cyprinidae.
GAAAGAAAAUACAUUCAACAUAUUCAAAUAGCCUAUAUAAACUCAUUGCUUCAGUCAGUUAAAACAUCACCAUGAUCUGACAAGUUCCUUAAAAUUAAUUUUGCAACUAAGCACCCAAAUACAGGUACAAGCAGUGAUGUGCAAACGAGGAUGUUUUAUAACUGAUGAAGAUAAAGUGAAAGUAAAUCGAUUCACUUCGAUUUGGUGAACUGGUUCGACCGGUUCACUAAGAAGAUCCGGUCAAAUAGAACGAUUCGUUAGCAAACCUUACGUCACUGUGUGGCUGUCAAUCACCGCACCGGUGUGGAUACUGCACUUUGUUCACAGAUUCUACAUCUUGAAAAUAUGACCCAAAUAAGAGUUUUCACUGGAGAAUGUCAUCUAAACAAUGUUCUCCAACGUCUCCACGAUUCCUAUUCUCAACAGCACCCGUUCAUCCCCAGGAUUCCUGCAAUGAACCAACCCAAAAUUAUCAAGAGCUAAGAACUCCAGAACCUUCCAUAUCCACUCAUACUCUCUGGCUUGUUUGUGACACAUGGCACAUGACGCAAAACCCUGGAUUUGUGUUCAUGCUGCCAGUGAGACUGUCUUUGUCUUGGUGAUACUGUUGCAGUGUGUUGACGAAAACCUCUCAAACAGAGAGCUCAAUCUGGUGCUAUUUCUCUACAUGAGAGAAAUGGUCCAUCAUGUCUGAGGAUGUGCUUGUGGAAUGCUCUUUGUAUUGCUUUUGCUGUGAAACACCCAGAAUAUCUCCAAUAAACAAACCAUAACAUAAAAAAUGGCUAAUCA